GACGAACGCUGGCGGCGUGCCUAAUACAUGCAAGUUGAGCGAUGAAGAUUGGUGCUUGCACCAAUUUGAAGAGCAGCGAACGGGUGAGUAACGCGUGGGGAAUCUGCCUUUGAGCGGGGGACAACAUUUGGAAACGAAUGCUAAUACCGCAUAACAACUUUAAACAUAAGUUUUAAGUUUGAAAGAUGCAAUUGCAUCACUCAAAGAUGAUCCCGCGUUGUAUUAGCUAGUUGGUGAGGUAAAAGCUCACCAAGGCGAUGAUACAUAGCCGACCUGAGAGGGUGAUCGGCCACAUUGGGACUGAGACACGGCCCAAACUCCUACGGGAGGCAGCAGUAGGGAAUCUUCGGCAAUGGACGAAAGUCUGACCGAGCAACGCCGCGUGAGUGAAGAAGGUUUUCGGAUCGUAAAACUCUGUUGGUAGAGAAGAACGUUGGUGGGAGUGGAAAGCUCAUCAAGUGACGGUAACUACCCAGAAAGGGACGGCUAACUACGUG
Molecule: ribosomal RNA, 497 nt
Filed under: uncultured bacterium
Lineage: Bacteria
Description: partial 16S ribosomal RNA
Rfam family: Bacterial small subunit ribosomal RNA
Source: RNAcentral